Molecule: ribosomal RNA, 394 nt
Filed under: uncultured bacterium
Lineage: Bacteria
Description: bacterial SSU rRNA
Rfam family: Bacterial small subunit ribosomal RNA
Source: RNAcentral
GUGUCAGCAGCCGCGGUAAUACGGAGGGUGCAAGCGUUGUUCGGAAUUAUUGGGCGUAAAGGGCGCGUAGGCGGUAAUGCAAGUCAGAUGUGAAAUACUCCGGCUCAACUGGGGAACUGCAUCUGAAACUGCAUAACUAGAGUACAGAAGAGGGAAACGGAAUUCCCGGUGUAGAGGUGAAAUUCGUAGAUAUCGGGAGGAACACCAGUGGCGAAGGCGGUUUCCUGGUCUGAUACUGACGCUGAGGCGCGAAAGUGUGGGGAGCAAACAGGAUUAGAUACCCUGGUAGUCCACACUGUAAACGGUGAACACUAGGUGUGGGAGGUGUAAUACCUUCCGUGCCGUAGCUAACGCGUUAAGUGUUCCGCCUGGGAAGUACGGCCGCAAGGUUGAA